Long non-coding RNA from Perognathus longimembris pacificus (Pacific pocket mouse), 153 nucleotides. RefSeq lists it as uncharacterized. Lineage: Eukaryota; Metazoa; Chordata; Mammalia; Rodentia; Heteromyidae. The record is from RefSeq and is a predicted model, not a curated record. The transcript has 3 exons.
UAUUCUGUAGAUUCCAGUGUUCCAAAAUUCUAAGUAUGGAGUUAUACUGAAUAAUUAACUUUGAUAUUAUGACACCUGUCAUCUUGAGAAAGUGGCUAAGCUGUCAAGAAUUGUAGAAGCCUGAAAUAUUUGUUUUCUCUUACAUCAAUGGAG